UGAAAUGCGAUGUAAACAACCUAGAACAACUAUACAACGCAAACAUACAUUAAAACUAACAAAAUAGUAUAGAAAUUUAAUCUAACUAAUAUUACAAUAUGAUAGCAUGGAAAUAUACUAACCAUUAUCAAACACAUAAAUCACUGAAAAUAAAAGGAAAAAGAGGAAGUACCUUACGUUUGAUAAACAAACCGAAGAAACGCAAGCAAAAGCAAAGAAGGAUUGUUUGAAUGCUUCUCUAAAGUUUUGGGAUGUAUUUGGCUCAACUUGUUUUGACCUUAGAGUAUGAUUGAGCACUGUUUAAAUGCCAUUUGUAUGUAUGUUGAGUGUGUAUUUUCGGAGCUUUAAGAUUAGGGGAGUAAAUUGGGCAAGGGUUUUAUGUUAUAAGUUCUCUCUAAAAAAGGAGGAGGUGGGGGUACUGUAGGCAUCCCAUUUUUGACUGGCCUUAAGACUUAGACACUCUACGAAAAGCUCCUAAUGAUGAAAGCAAAGAUUAGGUCAAACACAACUCGAUGAUGAAGAAAACCAAACAUUCCUACACCCGUUUUGGUCAAAGAGUUUUCCAGACCUUCAAACCUAUUUUGAAACAUUUUUUUAAGGCAAGAGAGACCUUCUCAAGCAUUGUAACCUUUUCUAGCUUUGUGUUUUUUAAAAGUGUCGAUCUAUUUUCAAAGAGACAAGCAUAGGAAGCUGGAAUGAGUGAGAAGAGGGGAAUAUCCUUUUUUAGAACAGUGUGGCCAAACAAAGUAGUGGUCGGUUGAACAUAAGUGUAUUGGUCGGAUUGUUUUCAAGACUGACCAAAAGACAACUUCUGUUUGCAUAAGCACACCCGAAGAGAGAUGAGAGGUUGGCCGGAUUGUACUAUGAGAGGUUGGUCAAUUUGAAGUUGGUCAAUUAUGGGAGGUUGGUCAAUUUGAAGUUGGUCAAUUAUGGAAUGGCCAGGGAUGAGAGGUUAGUCAAUUUCUGACUGAUGGAUAAAUAUGGAACGGCCGUACAAUCUUUUGUCCAACUAAGCACUAUUGAGAAUCACCAAACAACUUCUAAUGAGGUGGUCCCCUAGCAUCUUGGAAUAUGCCGUCUGGAUCUUUGGAGCCCAAAUGGCAUAUUCUAAGCAUCUUGAGCCUAUUUAAACCCUCCCUUGUAGAGAGAUGAGAGGUUGGUCAAUUUGAAAGAUUGUUAAAUCUUGAGGCUGGUCGUUUUUUAACUCUAAGGCAAUCACUCUCUCAAUUCUCUACACUCAUAUACUCAAACACUCAUACACUUGAGGUUUUCUUCAUCUUCUUGGAUUAAAGACUUGAAGAUUUGGAGCUAGCCUUGAUCAUCAGCUUGAGAGAGUUUGGACUAGAGUUUGUGACCAGCUUGGGCCCUAUCACUAUUGGGUUUAAAGGUUACUUGGAUGCCAAAGGUGGUAGACCUCUACGCGCCAGCUCACGACAUCACUGACCAUAGGAUCUUGCUGCAGGGUCCUUUUCUGCUUAGAGUCCUCCUCGUGGUACUUGACGAUAUGAGGUAUGCUAAGGCCUUUUGUCCAGAGGACAUUGUUCCAGCGAUGGAAGGUACUGAUGCGAGAUAGCUCUUAAAGGGAGGCGAUUGCUUUGAGUUUGUUCGAACCAAGCUGAGAGGUCCUCUAAUUGCACAAGUUGCUCUUGCCAUUGUUACUGCUAUUGGAUGAGGCGAGGUGCCCCAAUUGUGGAUCCAAGAUUGCCAAAGGUGCCUACUUCAGUCACCAUUCAAUCUCCCUCUAGCAAGCUUGAGAAUGUAGCAAUCCCAACGCCCUCGACUGUGCCAAUGAGGUUGGCGCUCGACAUCCAUCAGGUUUCCUGUGAGCAUGCUGAGGAUUGCUACCGAAUGAUCAUCGACUUAAUGAUACUGGUACAUUAGUCUGCCUCUGGAGGGCAAGGUCCAUCCCCUCAGCUGCACCUAAAGAUGGGUCUUCUGGCAGUUAGAGAGCAGCCAAAGUGAUUCCUCCUCCUGCCCUGGCUGCUGAUAUAAUGAUGAUUUGGAGGAGAGCAGCGAGACGCGCUCCAGAGAGGUAAAAGGUGACGAAGAGGAUACCCCCAACCCGCACCAAACAGGAUGGUGUAGUGAUUGGCUAGUAGUCAUUGACUACCAAAGGCCUACUAAACGAAAGCAAGUCGAGCUCUUUAAUAUAAUUAGGGCAAAAGUUCUUUUAUAGAGUGCGGAAGCCAUUAUUUGUUUAUGUUGAGUCCAUUUAAAACAUCCCUUCAGAGCAGUGUAUAUCUAUAUGAAAUGAAAGCAUACAUCAUUAUUAUCUUACAUCA
Camellia sinensis is the source of this 2282-nucleotide long non-coding RNA. RefSeq lists it as uncharacterized. NCBI's taxonomy places the organism in Eukaryota, Viridiplantae, Streptophyta, Magnoliopsida, Ericales, Theaceae. The record is from RefSeq and is a predicted model, not a curated record.